GAGAAGCAAAGCCGCGAGGUAGAGCAAAUCUCAAAAAGACAUCUCAGUUCAGACUGCAGGCUGCAACUCGCCUGCACGAAGUCGGAAUUGCUAGUAAUCGUAGGUCAGCAUACUACGGUGAAUACGUUCCCGGGCCUUGUACACACCGCCCGUCAAACCAUGAGAGUUGGCAACACCCGAAGUCGGUAGUCUAACCGCAAGGAGGACGCCGCCGAAGGUGGGGUUGAUGAUUAGGGUUAAGUCGUAACAAGGUACC
Molecule: ribosomal RNA, 256 nt
Filed under: uncultured bacterium
Lineage: Bacteria
Description: partial 16S ribosomal RNA
Rfam family: Bacterial small subunit ribosomal RNA
Source: RNAcentral